Molecule: long non-coding RNA, 2794 nt
Organism: Pristis pectinata (smalltooth sawfish)
Lineage: Eukaryota; Metazoa; Chordata; Chondrichthyes; Rhinopristiformes; Pristidae
Exons: 3
Source: RefSeq, a predicted model, not a curated record
GUUGGACUUCGGACACUGGCUCGAACAACUCCUGCAGCAAUGUUAAGUGGUUGAUUUGGAUGUAAUGGGGACAGAACUACUGGCAUUCACCGUCAUUGUUUUGCUGAGAACAACUUCGGGAUUUUUGUCUACGUGCAGUGUAACACGAGAGUCUUCUGGGGGCAGCCCACAAGUGUCACCACGCUUCUGGCACCAACAAAGCAUGACCACAACUUCCUGACCUGUACGUCAUUGGAAUGCAGGAGGAAACCGGAGCACCCGGAGGAAACCCACCCAGACACAAGGGGAGAACGUACAAGCUCCUUACAGACAAUGGCUGGAAUUGGACCUGGGUCGCUGGUGCUGUAAUAGUGUUACACUAACCACUACACUACCGUGCAUUGCCUUAGCAACGGACGUUUCCUGAAUCUUGAUGUCGGGUUGACCAGCUUCUGAUUCCUUGUUUACUUGUCCCUCCACCCUUGAUUGAAGGUGUUACAUUUGCUGCUUCUCAUUCACUGGGAACUUCCUUGAAUCCAGGGAAUUUUUGAAGACCACGACCGAUGCAUCGUCUCUCUCUGCAGCUGCUGUAUUUACAACCCUAGGAUGCAGGGCAUCAGGUCCAGAGGGCUGGUCAGCCUCCAGCCCCAAUCAUUUGCCAGGCUACAAAGUCUCUGACGCGUCUGCAGCUUUGCUGGGGGUGAAUCCUGUGGUCAAAGGAAGCAUUGUGCAAUGCUGAAACAAGAAGUUAGCCAGCCAGUAAUUCACUGCCAAAUUGGAACAAAGUUGGCACACCUCGUCUCUCCAGGUCUUUCAACUGCCCUCACAGAGGCUUGAUAUUAUGGGAAAGUUAAUGAUCACCGAAAGGAACAUUCAGACAGAUAACUGUGAACUUAGAUCCACUGCCUGACACCAACUCUUUGGGAAUACCUUGAUCUGCAUACAUCAGGCUCAGCUCCUCUGUCAUACACUCUGCUGCUGUGCAUGAUCCCACAUGUUGAAAUUCAAUCCAUUUAGAAAAACCAUAACAAAGAUUAGAAACUUGUUGUUGCCUUGCUUAUAAAAAUCGAGAACUUUCUGAAUUACAGGAACACAAGAAAUGAUCAGGUUGACCUCCUGAUAUGGGGGGGUCUUUGUAGUUCUGUACCCCUGACAGACUGUACAUGUCUUCUGGAACUUAACGGGUCAGGCAGCACCUAUGGUGGGAAAUAGAUAGUCGACGUUUGGGUCUCCACCUGAAAUGUUGACUGACAAUUUCCAUAGCUGCUGCCUGAUCCACUGAAGCAGAAUCAGAAUCAGGUUUAUUAUCACUGACCUAUGUUGUGAAAUUUGUCGUUUUACAGCAGCAGUACAGUGCAAGUCAUAAAGAAGUAAAAAUUACUAUAAGUUACAAAAAUAAAUAACUAGUGUAAAAGAGGAAUAACGUGGUGGUGUUCAUGGGUUCAUGGACCAUUCAGAAAUCUGAUGGCGGAGGGGAAGAAGCUGUUCCUGAAUCAUUGAGUGUGGGUCUUCAGGCUCCUGUACCUCCUCCCCCAUGGUAGUAACAAGAAGCGGGCAUGUCCUGGAUGGUGAGGGUCCUUAGUGAUGGAUGCCGCCUUCUUGAGGCACCACUUCUUGAAGAUGUCCCCGAUGGUGGGGAGGGUUGUGCCCGUGAUGGAGCUGGCUGAGUCUACAACCCUCAGCAGCCUCUUUCGAUCCUGCACAUUGGAGCCUCCAUACCAGGUGGUGAUGCAACCAGUCAGAAUGCUCUCCGCUGUACAUCUGUAGAAAUUUGCAAGAGGCUUUGGUGACAUAGCAAAUCUCCUCAAACUCCUAACGAAGUAGAGCCGCAGAAUGAGCUUUUCCAGUGCUUUGUGUGUGGCUCCAGAUUCCAGCAUCUGCAGUCUCUUGUGUCUCUAACUCUUCCAGAUCUAUGCUAGCACCUGGCGAUGUAUGAAGCAUCUGGAAACUGAUCUGUUCUGACAAUAACUCUUGUAUGACCUGUUUCCUCAGUACACCAGCGAUGACUAUUCCAAGUCCCCACUUCAGACUUCCCCAAGUACUGGACAAUUUGAGUCUCAGUGUGAAAUAGUUGCCUAUCCAAACUUGGAUACUUUCCUGAGAUUUGGAAGUUUGCUGAUGGACUGCCUUCAGAAGCACACCUUGCUGCAUUGUCGUAGUGACUUCUGAAGCUUGACUGGAAAAUUGUCUUUAACUAAUUCUAAGGGGAAAAUUGUAAACUCUCCGUCUUUGUCAAAAUCUUAUUGUGGUGGACUGGUUGAAGCAUCAACACAGAGGUUUGUGGAAGGCGUACACUUGAUGGUGUGGCCGAGGUAAUGAAUCACCCAUCUCGGCAUUCUGGAGGUUGCUGUAGUCAGAAUGUCCAACGUCAGACCUCGAAUGGCUGUUGGGGAUUUGGUGAUCUACAACUGAAAUGAAAGAUCUUCCCAACAGGAGCUGGUGAAAUGUCUUCAUUCCAUAAACAUGGCUGGCAAUUGUUUCUCUAUCUGCUUAUUGUUCUGUUUAACUUAAAUUGUGAGACACAGAUGUCCUCAACCUCUGGUCGUCAUCCAGAAUGUGACUGAUAACAGUCCUGUCGUUAUGUAUUAACAACGAUUCAAAGGGAGCACGUGGUCUCUGCGGGCACCCUGGUUGAGCUCCACGCUCGGUGGCCCCUCAGGGGAUCGCGUGUGUCGUGGACGGAGAGAAUGCGACUCUUCUGUGAACGGUUGUUUUCUUUGCUGUGUUGCGUGUGCGUUGCGCGGGUGUUUAGUCGCAAUAUUUUGCUGUAGUUAUAUAGCUGCUUAGUUUCUUUCCUCUUCUGUAUUAGUUGUAG